RNAcentral lists this ribosomal RNA (407 nucleotides) under uncultured bacterium. Its description in RNAcentral is "bacterial SSU rRNA". It matches the Rfam family "Bacterial small subunit ribosomal RNA", at positions 355 to 774 of the family's 1533-position model. The record is from RNAcentral.
UGGGGAAUAUUGCACAAUGGGCGCAAGCCUGAUGCAGCAACGCCGCGUGAGGGACGACGGCCUUCGGGUUGUAAACCUCUUUUGGCAGGGAAGAAGCGAAAGUGACGGUACCUGCAGAAAAAGCACCGGCUAACUACGUGCCAGCAGCCGCGGUGAUACGUAGGGUGCAAGCGUUGUCCGGAAUUAUUGGGCGUAAAGAGCUCGUAGGCGGUUUGUCGCGUCUGCUGUGAAGACCCGAGGCUCAACCUCGGGCCUGCAGUGGGUACGGGCAAACUAGAGUGCGGUAGGGGAGAUUGGAAUUCCUGGUGUGGCGGUAGAAUGCGCAGAUAUCAGGAGGAACACCGAUGGCGAAGGCAGAUCUCUGGGCCGUAACUGACGCUGAGGAGCGAAAGCAUGGGGAGCGAACA